RNAcentral lists this ribosomal RNA (253 nucleotides) under uncultured bacterium. RNAcentral's name for it is "partial 16S ribosomal RNA". It matches the Rfam family "Bacterial small subunit ribosomal RNA", at positions 524 to 776 of the family's 1533-position model. The record is from RNAcentral.
UACGGAGGAUCCGAGCGUUAUCCGGACUUAUUGGGUUUAAAGGGUGCGUAGGCGGUUUGAUAAGUUAGAGGUGAAAUGUCGGGGCUCAACCCCGAAACUGCCUCUAAUACUGUUGGACUAGAGAAUAGUUGCGGUAGGCGGAAUGUACGGUGUAGCGGUGAAAUGCUUAGAGAUCAUACAGAACACCGAUUGCGAAGGCAGCUUACCAAACUAUAUCUGACGUUGAGGCACGAAAGCGUGGGUAGCAAACAGG